Molecule: ribosomal RNA, 449 nt
Filed under: uncultured bacterium
Lineage: Bacteria
Description: partial 16S ribosomal RNA
Rfam family: Bacterial small subunit ribosomal RNA
Source: RNAcentral
AACGAACGCUGGCGGCAGGCCUAACACAUGCAAGUCGAACGGGACCUUCGGGUCUAGUGGCGGACGGGUGAGUAACGCGUGGGAACGUGCCCUUUGGUUCGGAAUAGCCCCGGGAAACUGGGAGUAAUACCGGAUAAGCCCUACGGGGGAAAGAUUUAUCGCCAAAGGAUCGGCCCGCGUUGGAUUAGGUAGUUGGUGGGGUAAUGGCCUACCAAGCCGACGAUCCAUAGCUGGUUUGAGAGGAUGAUCAGCCACACUGGGACUGAGACACGGCCCAGACUCCUACGGGAGGCAGCAGUGGGGAAUCUUAGACAAUGGGGGAAACCCUGAUCUAGCCAUGCCGCGUGAUCGAUGAAGGCCUUAGGGUUGUAAAGAUCUUUCAGUGGGGAAGAUAAUGACUGUACCCACAGAAGAAGCCCCGGCUAACUCCGUGCCAGCAGCCGCAGUAA